RNAcentral lists this ribosomal RNA (215 nucleotides) under uncultured bacterium. Its description in RNAcentral is "partial 16S ribosomal RNA". It matches the Rfam family "Bacterial small subunit ribosomal RNA", at positions 120 to 334 of the family's 1533-position model. The record is from RNAcentral.
AGUAACCUGCCUUGGAGUGGGGAAUAACACAGUGAAAACUGUGCUAAUACCGCAUAAUGCAUUUGGGUCGCAUGAUUCUGAAUGCCAAAGAUUUAUCGCUCUGAGAUGGACUCGCGUCUGAUUAGCUGGUUGGCGGGGUAACGGCCCACCAAGGCGACGAUCAGUAGCCGGACUGAGAGGUUGGCCGGCCACAUUGGGACUGAGACACGGCCCAG